Erinaceus europaeus (western European hedgehog) is the source of this 129-nucleotide small nucleolar RNA. The record is from Ensembl. Lineage: Eukaryota; Metazoa; Chordata; Mammalia; Eulipotyphla; Erinaceidae.
UAGCAUUGUCCAAUGGCCUUUGGUUUUUCUUAUAACCAAUUAGGUCUGAAAGCAAUGGAAGAGAAACUUCCUUUUUCCAUGAGAAACACCCCUGUAGUGGGUUGUUCCUAUGGACAAGAGGAUACAUGU